AAGAUACGUCACUUUGAGAUCACAGAAUGAAAGCAGCAUGAAAUGUUAUGGCAAAGACAGCACAAAAAGAUACAAGAAUCUCACAAAUCCUCAAAAAUCAGGUGCUUGGCACACUGAACUUACUGAUCUGUGUAGGAUUUGUGCUGUGGUCCAUUUCUUGAAGAUGUGAAACAACAUCGAGUCUGAGAUUGGAAUUACUGACAGACUGGAGGAAAUUUUAGUCCUUGUGAUGCACAUGGACAUGCUGAAUUAUAAGUAAUUCUAGCUUCUUCUCCCCUCCCCUCCCCUCCCCUCAGCUAUCUCAGGGUUCAUAGAGAUUUCAAUGGUUUGUGUGCCUGUAAGCU
RNAcentral lists this long non-coding RNA (344 nucleotides) under Corvus moneduloides (New Caledonian crow). Its description in RNAcentral is "lncRNA (ENSCMUG00000017168.1)". Lineage: Eukaryota; Metazoa; Chordata; Aves; Passeriformes; Corvidae. The record is from RNAcentral.